AAUCUAAUAUAAUUAGGAAUCCUACUCUAAUUAAUAUUUAAAUCUUAAUUAAUUUAUCUCCAAUAGAUUUAAAUAUUAAUCCUAAUUCAGCUAGAAAUCAACUACAAAUCUAACCAAAUCCUAAUAAUCUCCACCUUGAUUUGAUUUAUAGUCUUCAGGAGCUGCUUCACCUUGAGCUUGUCUCCUCCGCUCGCUGUCGCCGCAUUCGCCACUCCACUUUGAGCAACUACACCUCUGCGAACUUUUGAAACCCAAACUGAUUUUUCUCAUAUUUUGACUAUGCUACCGUUCAGAACAUAUA
RNAcentral lists this long non-coding RNA (301 nucleotides) under Ananas comosus (pineapple). Its description in RNAcentral is "long non-coding RNA (ACOM_LNC024021)". The record is from RNAcentral. Lineage: Eukaryota; Viridiplantae; Streptophyta; Magnoliopsida; Poales; Bromeliaceae.